GUCUAUGGCCAUGCCACCCUGAACAAGCCCCAUGUCUGAUCUCGGAAGCUAAGCAGGGUCGGGCCUGGUUAGUACUUGGAUGGGAGACCACCUAGGAGGCUGUAGGCAUAAAUA
This 114-nucleotide ribosomal RNA is filed under the name Pteropus alecto (black flying fox). Lineage: Eukaryota; Metazoa; Chordata; Mammalia; Chiroptera; Pteropodidae. The record is from RNAcentral.